UUCACGGCGUGUCAACAAAUGAGAUGGCAUGAACGCCUGCUAUAGGCACCGCGCAGUGAAGUUUGUGGCGCCAUCUGUGGCAGCGCUGCCGUAACAAUGGGAAGGCCAAAGCGCGGGGGGACGUUAUCGGAGGCGCGGAAUUGGUGGUGGUGUUGGGUUUUUAUCAGCGUUGACAAUGGCAUCCUCCAACCGGACGAAUUCUAAUGCGUCGAUUGAAAGUGUCCGCGAAAGGAAGAGAAACAAAUACCGGUACUGUUGCGUUAAAGAUUGCCGCAGCCACGAAAGUCAGCCGGGCGUCAAACUGUACCGAUUUCCUGGCCGGCCGUGGGAGCAGGAACGACGAAAGAAAUUGACUGUUGCUGUGCGAAGAGUAAAUCGGAGCGAUGAAACGGACUGGAUUCCCAACGAAUUUUCACGGAUAUUUUCAAAACACUUCGUAAACGCGGAAAAAAAGCACUGUCGUUACGCAUCCAGCCUACUGCCCGACAUUAUUUCCUGAUGCUUGCAAAGCUCGCCCAUUCGAUGCAAUAACACGACUGUCAAGAUAUGAAAGAUGGCAUGAAAGAGCAGCAUCUGAUUGGAAUGGCUGAUAGCGCCGAGUGCAACGCCUGCGGUGUCGAGGAAACCAUAGAACACCUACUGUGCUACUGCCCAUCUUAUGAAAAUGAAAGGCAAGACCUCUGCACAGCU
Dermacentor andersoni is the source of this 690-nucleotide non-coding RNA. The record is from RefSeq and is a predicted model, not a curated record. Lineage: Eukaryota; Metazoa; Arthropoda; Arachnida; Ixodida; Ixodidae.